Molecule: long non-coding RNA, 637 nt
Organism: Mercenaria mercenaria
Lineage: Eukaryota; Metazoa; Mollusca; Bivalvia; Venerida; Veneridae
Exons: 3
Source: RefSeq, a predicted model, not a curated record
UUGGAGUUUUUACAUAGUUUCAAAAUAUAUCCAUUUAUACAGUACAGCUAGAGGAUUAUUUACUUUUUUCCCAGUUGUUCUUUUAUCCGAAUCCUACUUUUCCAUGACUUCUAGUUUUAGAAUACUCAUAAUGCAGUAUUUGGCGAAAAAUAUCGUAAAUAUAUAAUUUCAUAUAAUCGUAUUAAACGUUCUUUUCUUUUUUCAAGAUAACAUGGAUAAAGACAUUUCAGUAUACAUGUAUUAUUUGAAGUAACUUUUGAAAUCUUACUAUCAUAAUUUUAACCUCUAGUUAUCUUUAUUAAUUUAUCUCUUGUAUCAGAAGCAUCUUGAAAGAUUAGCUCUUAUGUGCAAAAGUACGAAUUUAUCUAAGUUAAAUACAUAAUUAGUGUUUAAUGUAAUAUUCGAACUAACAAUACAUGUUUGUUACUGGAUUUUUUGUGGAAAUGAACGUGAAGGUUGCUGAUCUAGUUUUACAUACAGCUUUACUAGUGGUUUGUAUUUGUGCCACUGGCAUGGCCGCAAGUGCGAACGACGACUGGCACUUUGACGGUCAUAAUAUAGCAUUCCACAAAAAUGUCAGUCAGCUACCCGAAACGUACUGUGACGAUGAUCAGUCUCAUAAAUGUUAUCCCGCAAG